GAUGAACGCUGGCUGUGUGCCUAAUACAUGCAUGUCGAACGAAGCACUUGUGCUUAGUGGCGAAUGGGUGAGUAACACGUACUUAAUCUACCUCAGAGUUUGGGACAACAUUUGGAAACGAAUGCUAAUACCGAAUAUACCUUUUAACCGCAUGGUUAGUUGGUAAAAGGCCCGUUUGGGUCGCUGCGAGAUGAGAGUGCGGUACAUUAGUUAGUUGGUAGGGUAAAGGCCUACCAAGACGAUGAUGUAUAGCGGGGUUGAGAAGCUGAACCGCCACACUGGGACUGAGAUACGGCCCAGACUCCUACGGGAGGCAGCAGUAGGGAAUAUUCCACAAUGAGCGAAAGCUUGAUGGAGCGACACAGCGUGCAGGAUGAAGGUCUUCGGAUCGUAAACUGCUGUUAUAAGGGAAGAAAAAACCGGUGUAGGAAAUGACAUCGGCUUGACGGUACCUUAUCAGAAAGCACCGGCAAACUAUGUGCCAGCCGCCGCGGUAAAACCUA
This 503-nucleotide ribosomal RNA is filed under the name uncultured bacterium. Its description in RNAcentral is "bacterial SSU rRNA". It matches the Rfam family "Bacterial small subunit ribosomal RNA", at positions 28 to 529 of the family's 1533-position model. The record is from RNAcentral.